AUUGAACGCUGGCGGCAUGCUUUACACAUGCAAGUCGAACGGCAGCGGGGGCUUCGGCCUGCCGGCGAGUGGCGAACGGGUGAGUAAUGCAUCGGAACGUGCCCAGUCGUGGGGGAUAACGCACCGAAAGGUGUGCUAAUACCGCAUCCGUCCUGAGGGAGAAAGCGGGGGAUCGCAAGACCUCGCGCGCUUGGAGCGGCCGAUGCCGGAUUAGCUAGUUGGUGGGGUAAAGGCCUACCAAGGCAACGAUCCGUAGCUGGUCUGAGAGGACGACCAGCCACACUGGGACUGAGACACGGCCCAGACUCCUACGGGAGGCAGCAGUGGGGAAUUUUGGACAAUGGGCGCAAGCCUGAUCCAGCCAUGCCGCGUGCGGGAAGAAGGCUUCGGGUUGUAAACCGCUUUUGUCAGGGAAGAAACGGUCUGGGUUAAUACCUCGGGCUAAUGACGGUACCUGAAGAAUAAGCACCGGCUAACUACGUGCCAGCCGCCGCGGUAA
This 499-nucleotide ribosomal RNA is filed under the name uncultured bacterium. Its description in RNAcentral is "partial 16S ribosomal RNA". It matches the Rfam family "Bacterial small subunit ribosomal RNA", at positions 29 to 523 of the family's 1533-position model. The record is from RNAcentral.